AUUGGACGCUGGCGGCAUGCCUUACACAUGCAAGUCGAACGGCAGCACGGGUGCUUGCCCCUGGUGGCGAGUGGCGAACGGGUGAGUAAUACAUCGGAACAUGUCCUGUAGUGGGGGAUAGCCCGGCGAAAGCCGGAUUAAUACCGCAUACGAUCUACGGAUGAAAGCGGGGGACCUUCGGGCCUCGCGCUAUAGGGUUGGCCGAUGGCUGAUUAGCUAGUUGGUGGGGUAAAGGCCUACCAAGGCGACGAUCAGUAGCUGGUCUGAGAGGACGACCAGCCACACUGGGACUGAGACACGGCCCAGACUCCUACGGGAGGCAGCAGUGGGGAAUUUUGGACAAUGGGCGAAAGCCUGAUCCAGCAAUGCCGCGUGUGUGAAGAAGGCCUUCGGGUUGUAAAGCACUUUUGUCCGGAAAGAAAUCCUUGGCCCUAAUACGGUCGGGGGAUGACGGUACCGGAAGAAUAAGCACCGGCUAACUACGUG
Molecule: ribosomal RNA, 486 nt
Filed under: uncultured bacterium
Lineage: Bacteria
Description: partial 16S ribosomal RNA
Rfam family: Bacterial small subunit ribosomal RNA
Source: RNAcentral